CACCUGCCGAAGCAACCAGCCCUGAAAAUGGAUGGCGCUAUAGCGUUUUGCCUAUACUCGACCGCCGGAACGGAGCUGGCCUCGGAGGAGGUUCGAGCCCUUAUGUUCCGGUGAGUAGGGGGGCGCGGCGGUGAGCGUCGAAGGGUCUGGGCGUGAGCCUGCCUGGAGCCGCCGCCGGCGCAGAUCUUGGUGGUAGUAGCAAAUACUCAAGUGAGAUCCUUGAGGGCUGACGUGGAGAAGGGUUCCAUGUGAACAGCACUUGCACAUGGGUGAGUCGAUCCUAAGCCGGAAGCGAAAGCUGCUCCAAUGCAUCGGGCCACGACUUUACGAAGCGGGCGCCCCGAAGGAGUUCGGCGAAAGGGAAUCCGGUACUCAUUCCGGAACCCGGCUGUGGGGAGUAGUGGCGCCUCGUGCGUCACCUAGCCGCAAGGCAUAUGCCUACCCGGAUAUGUCCAACCGAAGGGCCGGGAAGAGUUUUCUUUUCUGGUUAAGGGGCUGAGGGCCUUGUGAACCGGGUCGGUCGGAGAGAGGGUCUUGGCCCCCAAGAGCGCCGCGGUUCUUGCGGCGUCCGCGCUCCUUCGGUCUGGAACUUGAAAAUCCGGGGGCGAGAAAGCGUACCUUCACACCGGUUCGUACCCAUAUCCGCAUCUGGUCUCCGAGGUGAACAGCCUCUAGUCGAUAGAUUAAUGUAGGUAAGGGAAGUCGGCAAGUCAGAUCC
Molecule: ribosomal RNA, 718 nt
Filed under: Tanycypris sp. 18 IK-2017
Lineage: Eukaryota; Metazoa; Arthropoda; Ostracoda; Podocopida; Cyprididae
Description: eukaryotic LSU rRNA
Rfam family: Eukaryotic large subunit ribosomal RNA
Source: RNAcentral